Vicia villosa (hairy vetch) is the source of this 553-nucleotide long non-coding RNA. RefSeq lists it as uncharacterized. The record is from RefSeq and is a predicted model, not a curated record. The transcript has 3 exons. Lineage: Eukaryota; Viridiplantae; Streptophyta; Magnoliopsida; Fabales; Fabaceae.
GAAUAAGAUGAAAGCAGAUUGUAAGGUGAAAUGGAUAGCUGUAGCGGUGAAAAUCCGUUUUGACGGUAGCGACCUCAACGAAACAGAAGGUUGCAGUUCCGGAACAGUUUCAACUGAACGAUGCACUUGAUCUACACACUUUGCUGAUUUUGAUGAAAGAGAUAGAGAAUAAGAUAGAUGAUAAUGAUCAUCAUCAAGAACAAUAACUGAAGUAUCUUGGGUUUGUGAGAAUUGCUGCUAUUCAUGCUUUUGUUUGCAUGUCCAGUCUUUAUGAUUAUGCAAAACAGAAUUCGGGAUCUUUGAGAUCUGCUGUUGGAACCGUUGAAGACUGUGAUUCGAUUUGCGAUCUUUUUUUGCGGAGGAUGGAAUUGGAGGAAGAAGUGAGGAGGGAACUCGCAAUCGAGAGAGAAUUGGGGAUUUCAAUACAGAGGCCGCUGAAUAUUCAGGGACUAAUGUCGCAAUGGUCAAAUUCAAUGCUGAUGAAUCCUGUUGUUGUUGGCCAUAUUGGUGCGUCGCAACAACAAUUGAUUACUUGGAACUGAUAUUUAUUGAU